RNAcentral lists this ribosomal RNA (429 nucleotides) under uncultured bacterium. RNAcentral's name for it is "bacterial SSU rRNA". It matches the Rfam family "Bacterial small subunit ribosomal RNA", at positions 355 to 776 of the family's 1533-position model. The record is from RNAcentral.
UAGGGAAUUUUGCGCAAUGGGCGAAAGCCUGACGCAGCGACGCCGCGUGAGUGAAGAAGGCCUUCGGGUUGUAAAGCUCUGUCAGAUGGGACGAAUAAGUGGGCUUAAAUAAGGCUACACGAUGACGGUACCAUCAGAGGAAGCACCGGCUAACUCUGUGCCAGCAGCCGCGGUAAUACAGAGGGUGCAAGCGUUAUUCGGAAUCACUGGGCGUAAAGAGCAUGUAGGCGGCGCACCAAGUCAGGUGUGAAAUCUCGGGGCUUAACCUCGAAAUUGCAUUUGAAACUGGCGCGCUUGAGAAAGGGAGAGGAAUGUGGAAUUCCUGGUGUAGAGGUGAAAUUCGUAGAUAUCAGGAGGAACACCUGAGGCGAAGGCGGCAUUCUGGCCCUUCACUGACGCUGAGAUGCGAGAGCGUGGGUAGCAAACAGG